RNAcentral lists this ribosomal RNA (484 nucleotides) under uncultured bacterium. Its description in RNAcentral is "partial 16S ribosomal RNA". It matches the Rfam family "Bacterial small subunit ribosomal RNA", at positions 30 to 507 of the family's 1533-position model. The record is from RNAcentral.
AUUGAACGCUGGCGGCAGGCCUAACACAUGCAAGUCGAGCGGAUGAAGGGAGCUUGCUCCUGGAUUCAGCGGCGGACGGGUGAGUAAUGCCUAGGAAUCUGCCUGGUAGUGGGGGAUAACGUCCGGAAACGGGCGCUAAUACCGCAUACGUCCUGAGGGAGAAAGUGGGGGAUCUUCGGACCUCACGCUAUCAGAUGAGCCUAGGUCGGAUUAGCUAGUUGGGGGGGUAUAGGCCUACCAAGGCGACGAUCCGUAACUGGUCUGAGAGGAUGAUCAGUCACACUGGAACGGAGACACGGUCCAGACUCCUACGGGGGGCGGCGGUGGGGAAUUUUGGACAAUGGGCGAAAGCCUAAUCCAGCCAUGCCGCGUGUGUGAAGAAGGUCUUCGGAUUGUAAAGCACUUUAAGUUGGGAGGAAGGGCAGUAAGUUAAUACCUUGCUGUUUUGACGUUACCAACAGAAUAAGCACCGGCUAACUUCGUG